Molecule: ribosomal RNA, 2062 nt
Filed under: activated sludge metagenome
Description: bacterial LSU rRNA
Rfam family: Bacterial large subunit ribosomal RNA
Source: RNAcentral
UCAAGCAAGUAAGGGCGUACGGUGGAUGCCUUGGCAUUGGUAGGCGAUGAAGGUCGUGGCAAGCUGCGAUAAGCCUCGGUGAGGAGCAAGCAUCCUUUGACCCGGGGAUCACCGAAUCGGAAAACCGACUAUGGGUGAACCCAUAGUAUCUGUAACUGAAUUCAUAGGUUGCAGAAGCUAACCUGGGGAAUUGAAACAUCUAAGUACCCAGUGGAAGAGAAAGCAAUAGCGAUUCCCUGAGUAGUGGCGAGCGAAACGGGAACAGCCUAAACCGGUCUUUACGUUACAGCCCAGGAGCGCUGUAGGAUCGGGGUAAUAGGGUGUGGACUGAGGGUGUCCUGGAACCUUCGGGAAGUUACAAAGUCUUAAUCUAGUUGAAGCCGCUGGAAAGAGCGCCAAAGAGGGUGAUAGCCCCGUAAACGAAAGAUUAAGACCUUCCUGGUUCACAUACCUGAGUACCGCGGGACACGAGAAAUCCUGUGGGAAUUCACGAAGACCACUUCGUAAGGCUAAAUACUCACCAAUGACCGAUAGUGAACAAGUACCGUGAGGGAAAGGUGAAAAGAACCCCGAGAGGGGAGUGAAAUAGAACCUGAAACCGUAUGCUUACAAGGUGUGGAAGGGCUAUGCUUGCAUGCCUGACCGCGUGCCUUUUGUAGAAUGAGCCGGCGAGUUACUCUAUAUAGCGAGGUUAAGUGAUAGUAAUCACGGAGCCGGAGCGAAAGCGAGUCUGAAUAGGGCGAUUAGUUAUAUGGAGUAGACCCGAAACCGAGUGAUCUAGCCAUGGCCAGGUUGAAGUACCGGUAAAACGGUAUGGAGGACCGAACGGUUGUGUGUUGAAAAACGCUCCGAUGAGUUGUGGCUAGGGGUGAAAGGCCAAACAAACUCGGCAAUAGCUGGUUCUCCUCGAAAUAUCUUUAGGGAUAGCCUCGUGUGUUUUGUUGCGGAGGUAGGGCUCUGACUGGGCUAGGGGGUCAACAAACUUACCAAACCCAUUUAAACUUCGAAUGCCGUAACUUUAGAACACGGGAGUCAGACUACGGGGGCUAAGCUCCGUGGUCAAAAGGGAAAUAGCCCAAACCAACAGCUAAGGUCCCGAAAUGUAUGCUAAGUGAUAAAGGAGGUGGAGUUGCUUAGACAGCCAGGAUGUUGGCUUAGAAGCAGCAACCAUUCAAAGAGUGCGUAACAGCUCACUGGUCGAGUGACUCUGCGCCAAAAAUGAUUGGGGCUAAGCAUACUACCGAAGCUUUGGACUCAGUAAUGAGUGGUAGAGGAGCGUUCUAUACGGGCUGAAGGUCGAUCGUGAGGACGACUGGACUGUAUAGAAGUGAGAAUGCCGGCAUGAGUAGCGAUAAAACAUGUGAAAAACAUGUUCGCCGAAAGCCUAAGGUUUUCUGGGCAAUGUUAAUCAACUCAGAGUUAGUCGGCCCCUAAGGCGAGGCCGGAAGGCGUAGUCGAUGGGAAGCAGGUUCAUAUUCCUGCACCACCCGGUGGAGGUUAUCGUGAUGGAGUGACGUAGAAAGAUAUGGGCGCAGGGCGUUGGUCGUCCCUGUUCUUAAGUGUAGGCUUGGGAUCCAGGCAAAUCCGGGUCCCUUUAGGCCGAGGCUGUAGGGGAGUGAGCCUUCGGGCGAGCGAAGGUCCAGAAUCUAGGCUACCAAGAAAAACUUCUAAACGCGAAACUGGGUGACCGUACCACAAACCGACACAGGUAGGCGUGGAGAGAAUCCUAAGGCGCUCGUGAGAAUCCUCGUUAAGGAACUCGGCAAAAUGGUCCCGUAACUUCGGAAGAAGGGACGCCUCAGUAGUGUGACAUCCCUGCGGGUGAAGCAUGAAGAGGCCGCAGAGAAACGGAUCAAGCGACUGUUUACCAAAAACACAGGACUCUGCUAAAUCGUAAGAUGAUGUAUAGGGUCUGACACCUGCCCGGUGCCGGAAGGUUAAGAGGAGGGGUUAGCCGCAAGGCGAAGCUCUGAAUUGAAGCCCCGGUAAACGGCGGCCGUAACUAUGACGGUCCUAAGGUAGCGAAAUUCCUUGUCGGGUAAGUUCCGACCUGCACGAAUGG